RNAcentral lists this transfer RNA (77 nucleotides) under Sphaerobacteraceae bacterium. RNAcentral describes it as "tRNA-Asp". It matches the Rfam family "tRNA". From Rfam's summary of the family: Transfer RNA (tRNA) molecules are approximately 80 nucleotides in length. Their secondary structure includes four short double-helical elements and three loops (D, anti-codon, and T loops). Further hydrogen bonds mediate the characteristic L-shaped molecular structure. tRNAs have two regions of fundamental functional importance: the anti-codon, which is responsible for specific mRNA codon recognition, and the 3' end, to which the tRNAs corresponding amino acid is attached (by aminoacyl-tRNA synthetases). tRNAs cope with the degeneracy of the genetic code in two manners: having more than one tRNA (with a specific anti-codon) for a particular amino acid; and 'wobble' base-pairing, i.e. permitting non-standard base-pairing at the 3rd anti-codon position. Lineage: Bacteria; Pseudomonadati; Thermomicrobiota; Thermomicrobia; Sphaerobacterales; Sphaerobacteraceae. The record is from RNAcentral.
GGAGGCGUAGUGUAGCGGCCUAACACGCUGCCCUGUCAAGGCAGAGAUCGCGGGUUCGAAUCCCGUCGCUUCCGCCG